UGUCACCUCUUCCUCUUCUUCUCCUCUCCUCCACCUCUUCUCUUUCUCAUAUGCUGUCGAAUACUAAGGUUUCUGUGUCACCUCUUCCUCUUCUUCUCCUCUCCUCCACCUCUUCUCUUUCUCAUAUGCUGUCGAAUACUAAGGUUUCUGUGUCACCUCUUCCUCUUCUUCUCCUCUCCUCCACCUCUUCUCUUUCUCAUAUGCUGUCGAAUACUAAGGUUUCUGUGUCACCUCUUCCUCUUCUCCUCUCCUCCACCUCUUCUCUUUCUCAUAUGCUGUCGAAUACUAAGGCUUCUGUGUCAUCUAUUCCUCUUCUCCUCUCCUUCACCUCUUCUCUUUCUCAUAUGCUGUCGAAUACUAAGGUUUCCGUGUCACCUCUUCCUCUUCUCCUCUCCUCCACCUCUUCUCUUUCUCAUAUGCUGUCGAAUACUAAGGUUUCCGUGUCACCUCUUCCUCUUCUCCUCUCCUUCACCUCUUCUCUCCUCUUUCUCAUAUGCUGUCGAAUACGAUGGUUUCUGGUUAUGACUAGACAGCAUCUCUCCCCUCCCCCGCACCCCCCAACGCCCCCCCCUCCUCGCUUCUAAUUAAUAACAGGGUCGUGCCUUUAAUUUAAUCAUGUCACGGGAACCACACGUGAGAAUACCUUUUUUUUAUUGCUCUUUAUUAUGUCUCCGGCUGUAAUAAAAAGAGUGGUAAUAUUUUCCACCUGACAGAAGGAAGAUCAGACAAGAUACGAAAUAUUAUUGUACGUAAACACACACACACACACACACACACACACACAGGUGAUAGGAAGGAUAGGUAUGAACGGGUGUAUGCGUGGCUGGGGUGGAAAGGGUGUAAGAGGUGGAAGGGAUGGAAGAGGCGGAAGGGAAUGGAAGGGAUGAAAGGGGAUGGAGGAAGUGGACCAAGGGGUGGAAGAUGGCGGUGUGCGUGGCUGGGGUGGAUAGGGUGUAAGGGGUGGAAGGAAGGGGAUGGAAGAGGCGGUAGGGACUGGUAGGGAUGAAAGGGGAUGGAGGAAGUGGAUCAAGGGGUGGAAGAUGGCGGUGUGCGUGGCUGGAGUGGAAAGGGUGUAAGAGGUGGAAGGGAUGGAGGGGAAGGAAGGGGAUGGAAGAGGCGGAAGGGAAUGGAAGGGGUGGAAGAGGAUGGAGGGAGUGGAAAGGGGAUGAAAGAUGGCGGUUGAAGGUCAUGGAUGAGAAAAAAA
Eriocheir sinensis (Chinese mitten crab) is the source of this 1204-nucleotide long non-coding RNA. RefSeq lists it as uncharacterized. The transcript has 3 exons. The record is from RefSeq and is a predicted model, not a curated record. NCBI's taxonomy places the organism in Eukaryota, Metazoa, Arthropoda, Malacostraca, Decapoda, Varunidae.